This 245-nucleotide unclassified non-coding RNA is filed under the name uncultured Inocybe. Its description in RNAcentral is "sequence contains ITS1". Lineage: Eukaryota; Fungi; Basidiomycota; Agaricomycetes; Agaricales; Cortinariaceae. The record is from RNAcentral.
UCGAAUAAACUUGAACAGGCUGUUGCUGGUCCCAGGACAUGUGCACGCUUGUCAUCUUUAUCAUUUCUCCCAACUGUGCACAUAUUGUAGACCCUGGAGGUUUUUGGAUUUGUUCCGAGUGGGGGACUGCUGUGCUUCAAAGAAAAAGAAGUCGGCUUUCCCUUGAACUUUUUCCAGGUCUAUGUCAUUUUUCACAACCUCUUGAAUGUGUUUAGAAUGUUGAAAUAAAGAAAAGUUAAUAAAUA